This 316-nucleotide unclassified non-coding RNA is filed under the name Hevea brasiliensis (rubber tree). Lineage: Eukaryota; Viridiplantae; Streptophyta; Magnoliopsida; Malpighiales; Euphorbiaceae. The record is from RNAcentral.
AAUUGCUUUGAGCAAGAAUUUUGUGAAAGUUGUGUCAUGGUAUGACAACGAAUGGGGUUACAGUUCCCGUGUGAUUGAUUUGAUCUGCCAUAUGGCUAAGGCUUGAUUGAUGCUGCUGGGGAGCAAAAGACAGCAAUGUGUUUUAGUUUUUGCUUGGAAGUACUAUUAGUUUUGUGGGCCUGGAGUGGUCUUUCUUGUUUAUGUGUAAUUGAAUAACCAGAGAAGAACGGAACCCUGUUGUUAUCUUUGAGGAAAUCUUUUUUAUUGUUUGACUUUGUCAUGAAUGAAACAAUCAAACUUUACUUUUCUCUUGCCA